Molecule: small RNA, 2417 nt
Filed under: Pan troglodytes (chimpanzee)
Lineage: Eukaryota; Metazoa; Chordata; Mammalia; Primates; Hominidae
Description: retained intron
Source: RNAcentral
CACAGGCUCCCCCAGACGCCCUGGCCAGGCCAGGCAUGUGCCCACUUGCAAGUCUUUAUCCUUCUCUUAGGUUCCCUCUGGCAUGCACUUUUCUCCUUCACCUGCCCAAUCCCAGACAUCCUCAGAAUCUAGCAUCUGGUGACACUUCUGUGACACUUUCCCUGAUCCCCAGCCAGAGGGAACUGCUCCCCGCUCCUGAGCUCCCUGAGCCCCUUUCCACACAGAACACUUGGACCGUUGUAUUGCCCCUGGUUGUGUUGGGCCCAUGACCCUCACUGGACUGUGAGCUCCUUGAGGACAGGGGCACCCACUUUUUCAUCUUGGGGAAUCAGAGUCCACAUGGUGCUGCGUGCGCUGUUGAGGCCUCUGUGCAGCCCGGGCCCAUGUCUGCUGGGAUGGGGGGAAAGGUAGUGAGGUAGGUGGGGAGGAGGCAGGGGGUCUGAUGGAGUAGAAUACAACAGGCAGCUUUCACAGUGGAUUGAAGCUGUGCUUUCAGUUCAGCACAUGCUACUGAGCCCCUGCCAUGCCAGCCCCUGGGUCAGCACUGGAGAAGAUGCCCUGUCCCUUCCUCAUGGGGCAGCAAGGAAAGGGGAUGCUUUGCAGAUGAAGACAGAUCCUCCUGGGGAGGCGACGUGUGGCACAUAUGCAGUUAGACAGGGACAGAUUGGGCCCAGAAGCCAGCUGUCCUGUUUCCAGCAGUCACCAGGACCCUUGACCCAGGGCCUGGUCUCCACGGGUGGGGCAAAGCCCUGCUGACUUUAUUGUGGGGCGGGGGGGGGCGCUGGUUUCCAGGGCAGCGAAGGGAUUCGAGGCCCAUCAGGCCUGCCUGGCUCCCCUGGGCCACCGGGACCUCCUGGGAUUCAGGGCCCCGCCGGUCUGGAUGGUUUGGAUGGGAAGGACGGCAAGCCUGGUUUGAGGGGGGAUCCUGGUCCUGCUGGCCCCCCUGGACUCAUGGGACCACCGGGCUUUAAGGGGAAAACAGGACAUCCUGGCCUCCCAGGACCUAAGGGUGACUGUGGCAAACCAGGUCCCCCUGGCAGCACUGGCCGGCCUGGCGCAGAGGGUGAACCUGGUGCCACGGGACCCCAGGGAAGACCCGGUCCCCCGGGACACGUUGGGCCACCAGGGCCUCCAGGCCAGCCAGGACCAGCUGGGAUCUCUGCAGUGGGUCUGAAAGGAGACCGAGGAGCCACCGGAGAAAGGGGCCUUGCAGGCCUCCCAGGCCAGCCCGGCCCCCCUGGACACCCUGGCCCCCCAGGCGAACCUGGUACGGAUGGUGCAGCUGGCAAAGAGGGACCCCCUGGAAAGCAGGGAUUCUAUGGACCUCCUGGUCCCAAGGUGAGUGGGCACUGGCUGGGCUUGAGAGGAGAAGCUCACGAGUGGAUGAAGCCCAGCUGCAAGUUACGGCUUUAGCCACAGAGAGGAGACACAGGAAGGCCAGUGGGCAGGGGGAAAAAAUGCAGAACUUGGAGCAGGAUAGUGUCUGAAAAUUUCUCACAUGGGGUCAUUAGCUGUGGUUGGGGGGAAGGAAAUCUCCAGUUCAUUUACUCACUGAUUGACUGAUUGAUUCAUUCAUUGUUUCCAUUUCCCGAGCACUCCCUUGCUCCUGCUCACAUUCCAGGCCCUUGUCCUGGCCUCAGGGUGAUCCAGGAGCUGCAGGACAGAAGGGCCAGGCAGGAGAGAAGGGGAGAGCCGGCAUGCCUGGUGGACCUGGCAAGAGUGGUUCCAUGGGGCCUGUUGGGCCACCGGGCCCUGCAGGAGAGAGAGGCCACCCUGGAGCUCCGGGGCCUUCGGGGAGCCCUGGCUUGCCUGGUGUGCCUGGCUCCAUGGGAGACAUGGUGAAUUAUGAUGAAAUCAAGAGGUUCAUCAGACAAGAGAUCAUUAAAAUGUUUGAUGAGAGAAUGGCUUACUACACCUCCAGGAUGCAGUUCCCCAUGGAGAUGGCGGCAGCUCCGGGACGACCAGGGCCUCCAGGGAAGGAUGGUGCUCCGGGCAGGCCAGGUGCUCCAGGGUCACCUGGGCUCCCUGGUCAGAUUGGCAGAGAAGGACGGCAGGGCUUGCCAGGAGUAAGAGGACUGCCUGGUACCAAAGGUGAAAAAGGGGACAUUGGUAUUGGCAUUGCAGGAGAAAAUGGUCUUCCCGGCCCCCCAGGUCCUCAAGGUCCUCCAGGCUAUGGCAAGAUGGGUGCAACAGGACCAAUGGGCCAGCAAGGCAUCCCUGGCAUCCCUGGGCCCCCGGGUCCCAUGGGCCAGCCAGGCAAGGCUGGCCACUGUAAUCCCUCUGACUGCUUUGGGGCCAUGCCGAUGGAGCAGCAGUACCCACCCAUGAAAACCAUGAAGGGGCCUUUUGGCUGAAAUUCCCCACCUGCCUUUGGAUGAAGGACUCCGUUGGGAAUAAAUGGCCAAAGCUUAUAGGAC